AAUGACUAAGUUAAAUAAAGGUUGAAUAAGAAAUUUUAAAUAAAACCAAGGAACGAGAUAAAGAUAAUACAUUAAGUUAAUGUGAACUAAGUUGUAUGGAUUAAGUAAAAAAGAAAGGGAGAAAUUAUUCAUGUUAACAACUCAGGAGGAGCUAAUAAAGGAAAUGGAAAGACUGAAAAUAGAAGUGCAGGGACCACGAGAGUCCGGGGAGAAGUUGUUCAUAAUAGGAGCUCAUCCGACGUUGUUAGAUAGAGUGAAGGAAUCGCAAGAGAAUGAUGAAGAGUACAAGAAGAUAAAGAAGAGGAUAGCAGAAAACGAAGAAGAAAACUUUAAAAUGGACAAGAAUGGUAUACUAAGAUUCGAAGAUUGAAUGUGGG
Molecule: long non-coding RNA, 377 nt
Filed under: Panax ginseng (ginseng)
Lineage: Eukaryota; Viridiplantae; Streptophyta; Magnoliopsida; Apiales; Araliaceae
Description: long non-coding RNA (PGIN_LNC001320)
Source: RNAcentral